This 408-nucleotide ribosomal RNA is filed under the name Triticum aestivum (bread wheat). RNAcentral describes it as "partial small subunit ribosomal RNA". Lineage: Eukaryota; Viridiplantae; Streptophyta; Magnoliopsida; Poales; Poaceae. The record is from RNAcentral.
AUGUUCGGCAGCUCUCCGCUCCGCAGCUCUGCACCGGAGCGGAGCGAGCCGCAACCUAUUUUCUUGGAGUGGUGCUUCGUCGGCUCCGCAAAGCUGGAUGACUGCCAAACAGGCGCUAGGCCUCGCCACAGCAGCCAAUUCUCCAUUCCCUAUGUCGUCUUCGAGCGAGAGAACUGCAGUGUGUCACUUGGCGGCACCGCUCUUAGGAUCGCCUCAAGCUGCAUCUUGCAAAGGAAUCCUAAAAAGUACCUGGAUGACUACAUUGAGCAUUUCAAUAUCCAACCAAAGUAUCUCCCUGGUGUGGAGUCAUGCACAUACGACAAUGAUAAGAAGUGUUGGUCUAUCAAGGCGCUGGACAUGGCAAUUGGCAAAGUGCACAUAAGAAGUGUUGGUCUAUCAAGGCGCUGA